Molecule: ribosomal RNA, 301 nt
Filed under: uncultured bacterium
Lineage: Bacteria
Description: partial 16S ribosomal RNA
Rfam family: Bacterial small subunit ribosomal RNA
Source: RNAcentral
CAGUAGCCGCGGUAAUACGGAGGGUGCAAGCGUUAAUCGGAAUUACUGGGUGUAAAGCGUGCGUAGGCGGUUCGUUAAGUCUGUUGUGAAAGCCCCGGGCUCAACCUGGGAAUGGCAAUGGAUACUGGCGAGCUAGAGUGUGUCAGAGGAUGGUGGAAUUCCCGGUGUAGCGGUGAAAUGCGUAGAGAUCGGGAGGAACAUCAGUGGCGAAGGCGGCCAUCUGGGACAACACUGACGCUGAAGCACGAAAGCGUGGGGAGCAAACAGGAUUAGAUACCCCUGUAGUCCCUGUCUCUUAUAA